RNAcentral lists this ribosomal RNA (200 nucleotides) under uncultured bacterium. RNAcentral's name for it is "partial 16S ribosomal RNA". It matches the Rfam family "Bacterial small subunit ribosomal RNA", at positions 28 to 241 of the family's 1533-position model. The record is from RNAcentral.
GAUGAACGCUAGCGGCAGGCUUAAUACAUGCAAGUCGAGGGGGCAGCAAUGUCACCGGCGGACGGGUGCGUAACGCGUAUGAAACCUACCUUUAUCAGGGGGAUAGCCCCGGGGAAACCCGGAUUAAUACCGCAUAAUAUAUUGAAUGGCAUCAUUUGAUAUUGAAAGAUUUAUUGGAUAGAGAUGGUCAUGCGUAGGAU